Molecule: ribosomal RNA, 395 nt
Filed under: uncultured Glomus
Lineage: Eukaryota; Fungi; Glomeromycota; Glomeromycetes; Glomerales; Glomeraceae
Description: SSU rRNA
Rfam family: Eukaryotic small subunit ribosomal RNA
Source: RNAcentral
AGCAGCCGCGGUAAUUCCAGCUCCAAUAGCGUAUAUUAAAGUUGCUGCAGUUAAAAAGCUCGUAGUUGAAUUUCGGGAUCAUCAUGUCGGUCGUGCCUCGGUACGUACUGGCAUUGUUGGUUUCUACCUUCUGACGAACCAUGAUGUCAUUAAUUUGGUGUCAUGGGGAAUCAGGACUGUUACUUUGAAAAAAUUGAGUGUUUAAAGCAGGCUUACGCUUGAAUAUAUUAGCAUGGAAUAAUGAAAUAGGACGUUUUGAUUCUAUUUUGUUGGUUUCUAGGAUCGACGUAAUGAUUAAUAGGGAUAGUUGGGGGCAUUAGUAUUCAAUUGUCAGAGGUGAAAUUCUUGGAUUUAUUGAAGACUAACUACUGCGAAAGCAUUUGCUAAGGAUGUUU